GGGCGGUUAGUUCAGAUGGUAGAGCGCCACGUUGACAUCGUGGAGGUCGUUGGUUCGAGCCCAAUAUCGCCCACCA
Molecule: transfer RNA, 76 nt
Filed under: Paratissierella segnis
Lineage: Bacteria; Bacillati; Bacillota; Tissierellia; Tissierellales; Tissierellaceae
Description: Tissierellaceae bacterium BX21 tRNA-Val
Rfam family: tRNA
About the family: Transfer RNA (tRNA) molecules are approximately 80 nucleotides in length. Their secondary structure includes four short double-helical elements and three loops (D, anti-codon, and T loops).
Source: RNAcentral